AGUGAACGCUGGCGGUAGGCCUAACACAUGCAAGCCGAACGGCAGCACAGUAAGAGCUUGCUCUUACGGGUGGCGAGUGGCGGACGGGUGAGGAAUACAUCGGAAUCUACUUUUUCGUGGGGGAUAACGUAGGGAAACUUACGCUAAUACCGCAUACGACCUACGGGUGAAAGCAGGGGAUCUUCGGACCUUGCGCGAUUGAAUGAGCCGAUGUCGGAUUAGCUAGUUGGCGGGGUAAAGGCCCACCAAGGCGACGAUCCGUAGCUGGUCUGAGAGGAUGAUCAGCCACACUGGAACUGAGACACGGUCCAGACUCCUACGGGAGGCAGCAGUGGGGAAUAUUGGACAAUGGUCGCAAGCCUGAUCCAGCCAUACCGCGUGGGUGAAGAAGGCCUUCGGGUUGUAAAGCCCUUUUGUUGGGAAAGAAAAGCAGCAGGUUAAUACCCCGCUGUUCUGACGGUACCCAAAGAAUAAGCACCGGCUAACUUCGUG
This 492-nucleotide ribosomal RNA is filed under the name uncultured bacterium. RNAcentral describes it as "partial 16S ribosomal RNA". It matches the Rfam family "Bacterial small subunit ribosomal RNA", at positions 29 to 507 of the family's 1533-position model. The record is from RNAcentral.